This is a long non-coding RNA of Cyclopterus lumpus (lumpfish), 2535 nucleotides long. RefSeq lists it as uncharacterized. The transcript has 4 exons. The record is from RefSeq and is a predicted model, not a curated record. Lineage: Eukaryota; Metazoa; Chordata; Actinopteri; Perciformes; Cyclopteridae.
CCAAAGGCUGCCAUGGCCUUCCAAAGGCUUCUAUCGGCUUCCAAAGGCUUCCAUAGGCUUCCAAAGGCUGCCAUGGCCUUCCAAAGGCUUCCAUAGGCUUCCAACGGCUUCCAUAGGCUUCCAAACGCUUCCAUAGGCUUCCAUGAGCUUCCAACGGCUUCCAUAGGCUUCCAACGGCUUCCAUAGGCUUCCAAACGCUUCCAUAGGCUUCCAUGGGCUUCCAAAGGCUGCCAUGGGCUUCCAAAGAGAGAGAGUUCCCUUUUUACUAUGAAGCAUUGUCCAUUCUUUGGCCUAAUGUGGAUGUGGAGCGGUGAGCAGUUUGACCAAAAAGGGAACUUAUCCUCUCGGGUUGUGCCGUUCAAUGAUUUUCAGAAGCCUCUAAAAGUCCAUUCAGCCGGUGAAUGGAAAGCACUCCUGGGUUUCUUCUCCUCCUUUAUGGACCUGCUCCAAGCCGCCAUGGCCGAGGCCGUCGCGUCACGAUGAUACCAGAAUGCUGAGCGUUCCCAGGGCCCGGCUGUGUGCAUCAGGAUGCUGUUACACUGACUUUGAAAGGGAGAGCAGUAGAACCAUAAACAGAAUCUCAGGUCAUCAUGAUGCUACCAGAUGUUGGAGUCCUGCGAUACUCUUUCAAUAACUACCAUGUAGACAGAAAUAUAUAAUAACAAAGAAAACGGAUGUCGUGCUCCAGUUAAAAACAUACAGUGUACAGCAGAUCACGGCUCACAGCUGGGUCGUCCAUACCUGGGAGGGUGGGAAUAAAAGAAUAAGUGCAGCUGUUUUAUAGGCGUUUUUUCCAUAAUCAAAUGAUAGCAACUAGACUCGAAAAAAAAGGAUUUUGUAUCCAGAAUUGUAUUCAUGGCAGAAAGUUUUCAAACAAUGUCAAAGUUACAGCAAUUAAAUGUACAAACUAGGAAACAUCCAAAAUAACUGGAAAAACUGAGGGAGAGCACAGGAUGCAGUGCAGCGUGUUCAAUUCUAUGAAUGUUGAAAAUCUUCCACAUUUAGGGCCCACAGAACAAGCGCAUCCACGUUUCCUUUAACACCGCCUCGUUCUCGGGCUCCUUCACGUGGACAGAGGAAGGAAAAGAACUCUGGAUUUGGCUUUUAGUUCAUUUUACAACUUUUAGGACCUAAUCAUUUUAAGGGCUAAUCAUGUGUUCAAACUUGAUUAAGCCAAAAUAAAUUAACCAAAUUAAGCCCAAAGAAAUUCUCCUCGGGGCUACUGAUGUCUUUUUUCCCAAUCUAAGUCAAUGGGGAAAAGUACAUUUGGGCCCCAUCGCAUCUCGUGACGGACUCGGAAGUUAUUAUUCUACCGUUUGGCCUUUAUGUCCUAUAUUUCCUUCAAAGUCUGGCGCUCUGGGGUUGGGGGGCCAAAACAUGCAACCUCAGUAUUUCUAAAAUCCUUGCUGUCUCUGACUCCAUGAAAACAAAUGUGGUGGAUCAGCAAAAUAAUAUUGAUCGUUGCUAUAAUAAUUUUUCACUUUACCAAUGGAUCCAAUGUGUAAUGUGAAAAGGGAGUUUUCAGUCGCAGUGAAAAGUCGGAGCAUUGACUAUAAAACAUGGACGGACUCAGUGACGUGAAAAGGCCAAACAAAAUGUUAAAUUGGUAACACCACUGGAAGAAUAAGCAACAUCGAAUGUAUACCCUUUAAUCUAGAUGUGCCAUUAUUACAGAAACGGUAGCUCUCUGGUCUGAAAAACAUCACCAACAUCAAAUAACUCCUGAGCUGCAGUUUAUAGGAGUUGGGAAGCUCUGAUCCUGUGAGUCAAACACAAUCAGGAAACAAUCUUUCCUUGUCUCUCCACCGGCAUCUUCGGGGACUCUGGGUACAGAGUGUGAGGGAAGACGUCUGAAUGCGAGAUGACUGCUCCAGAUCCGAUGGCGGAUGGGUGUAGCCGGUCGGAGGGCGUUUUAAUUGGAGAUGCGGCUGGCUCCUGCCCCAGCGGAGGGAGAACAGGAGCACGAGUGGCUCCCAGUGGCUCCCAGUGUGCUCGGAGCAUCGCAGAACCAGUGACCUAGAAAAAAAAGGAACGCCGAUCACUCCCCGGAGUUGGCGGCAGGAGGAGCCGCGCCUCUAACGAACGCGCGGGGUCUGCUGCUGAUCGGGGGGCAACCAGAGGCAUUGUGGGUAAGCGGGACACGCUGUGACUUCCUGUGGACUGCUCCGUUGGAAUGCAAGGGUGUCGGGAGAGAUCAGAUCCAAUGCUAUAGACUUUACAACAACGACACUGUAGCUGUGGACAACAACACACACAUGACUCUUUAUGUGUGGAGCUCUUUCAAAACCAACACUGCACUUUACUUUGGCAGAUAGAAGCAUUUAAUAAUGUACAGUAUUGUGGUUAUGUUGAAUGAUCAUUUUUUAUCUGAUUACAUGAAUGACUCUAUUGUCAUUCAUUAUAUAUUCCUACAGCUGCCUCCACUUAUGAGUUAUUGAACAUUUAUAUCAGCUGUGUAAUAGUGUGUUUUCAGAGCAUUUGAAUUUCAACAAAUAAACAUUUUGAAGACUACCCAAGCUUUAAAUGGCACCUAUA